GACGAACGCUGGCGGCGUGCUUAACACAUGCAAGUCGAACGGAAAGGCCCUUCGGGGUACUCGAGUGGCGAACGGGUGAGUAACACGUGGGUGAUCUGCCCUGCACUUUGGGAUAAGCCUGGAAAAUGGGGCUAAUUACCGAAAAUGAUCAUGCCUUCCAGGGGGUGGGGUGGAAACCUUUUGCGGUGUGGGAUGGGCCCGCGGCCUAUCAGCUUGUGGGUGGGGUAAUGGCCAACCAAGGGGACGACGGGUGACCGGCCGGAGAGGGUGACCGGCCACACUGGGACUGAGAUAGGGCCCAGACUCCUACGGGAGGCAGAAGUGGGGAAUAUUGCACAAUAGGCGCAAGCCUGAUGCAGCGACGCCGCGUGAGUGAUGACGGCCUUCGGGUUGUAAACCUCUUUCAGCACAGCCGAAGCGCGAGUGACGGUAUGUGCAGAAGAAGGACCGGCCAACUACGUGCCAGCCGCCGCAGUAA
RNAcentral lists this ribosomal RNA (478 nucleotides) under uncultured bacterium. RNAcentral's name for it is "partial 16S ribosomal RNA". It matches the Rfam family "Bacterial small subunit ribosomal RNA", at positions 28 to 523 of the family's 1533-position model. The record is from RNAcentral.